Molecule: ribosomal RNA, 253 nt
Filed under: uncultured bacterium
Lineage: Bacteria
Description: partial 16S ribosomal RNA
Rfam family: Bacterial small subunit ribosomal RNA
Source: RNAcentral
UACAGAGGUCCCAAGCGUUGUUCGGAUUCAUUGGGCGUAAAGGGUGCGUAGGCGGCGCGGUAAGUGGGGUGUGAAAUUUCGGGGCUUAACUUCGAAACUGCAUUCGAUACUGCCGUGCUUGAGGACUGGAGAGGAGACUGGAAUUUACGGUGUAGCGGUGAAAUGCGUAGAUAUCGGGAGGAAGACCAGUGGCGAAGGCGGGUCUCUGGACAGUACCUGACGCUGAGGCGCGAAGGCCAGGGGAGCAAACGGG